GGAACCGUGGUGUAGGGGUAAGCUUGGUUGCCUCACACCCAGUCGGCUUGGGUUUAAUCCCAGACGGUCCCG
RNAcentral lists this transfer RNA (72 nucleotides) under Culex quinquefasciatus (southern house mosquito). Its description in RNAcentral is "tRNA-Val". The record is from RNAcentral. Lineage: Eukaryota; Metazoa; Arthropoda; Insecta; Diptera; Culicidae.